AGAGCGAACGCUGGCGGCAGGCCUAACACAUGCAAGUCGAACGGACUCUUCGGAGUUAGUGGCGGACGGGUGAGUAACACGUGGGAACGUGCCUUUAGGUUCGGAAUAGCUCCUGGAAACGGGUGGUAAUGCCGAAUGUGCCCUUCGGGGGAAAGAUUUAUCGCCUUUAGAGCGGCCCGCGUCUGAUUAGCUAGUUGGUGAGGUAAAGGCUCACCAAGGCUACGAUCAGUAGCUGGUCUGAGAGGAUGACCAGCCACAUUGGGACUGAGACACGGCCCAAACUCCUACGGGAGGCAGCAGUGGGGAAUCUUGCGCAAUGGGCGAAAGCCUGACGCAGCCAUGCCGCGUGAAUGAUGAAGGUCUUAGGAUUGUAAAAUUCUUUCAGUAGGACGAUAAUGACGGUACCUACAGAAGAAGCCCGACUAACUUCGUGCCAGCACGCCGC
Molecule: ribosomal RNA, 445 nt
Filed under: uncultured soil bacterium
Lineage: Bacteria
Description: bacterial SSU rRNA
Rfam family: Bacterial small subunit ribosomal RNA
Source: RNAcentral